GCAGGUCGGCCCUGGGGAACUGCGCAUUGGAGAGAGGAGGGCCGAGGUUGUGCGGGACGGAGCGGGUGGGGGUGUCGCACAGAGCCUGAGGUGGAAAGGUGGUGAGCGAAUUAAAAUGAGAAGAACGGUAGACCAGAGUUUUACGUCAUGAACACAAACAAUAAUUUUGCAGAUGUGAUGAAGUGACUUUCGACUGAUGUUUCCCGAAAGCGGCAACACGUGUCCCUCUUACCCGGCUGGUGCAGUCCUCUCGUCUACAGAUGUGUCGCUUGAUGUACCCUUCGGAUGGCACACUGCCACUUAAUAAAAUAUCAAUCCUGCUUUGACAGGGAAGCCUUAAUUGAGUCCCUCGUCAGUUUUAUCAAACUGUGUGUUUUUUGUCGUUUGAAACUUUCCUCCUCUAUAUCCCCUUCAGUCUCUCUCUUGCUCUUAUGGAAUAUGCUAGUAGUUGAAUUCCUCUGUAACGAAAAGAGACGGAGGGCGGUGCUGGGAAAGAAGAACAAAGUGAAAGAAAGAAAACACUGGAACGGAAAGAAAAAAUAAGAACAAGCGCAAAAGUGGGAGAGAGCAGGAGAAAAUCGCCCAAGAGAGACGGUGCGAAGAAAAAACCCUUUGGAGGCUAUUUCGUCAUUGGAUUCAUAAUUCAGGUUCAUGAUUUUAAUUUCCCUCUGUUCUUAUCAAAGGCCGGUGGAGCAGCAGGGGGAAGGCUGGUAGUUAGCUGGGUAACUGCAUAUGAGAUGAGCUGCAGCGCUCCGUCACAACGCCUGGACGACAUAAUAGGGAUGUAAAUUUGCUCAGAACAACAUUCACUCACAACAAAUUCCUCUCCCAAACAAAACCCCGCAUUCAUGUGUUGUUUGCGAGACCUUUUUCUUUGACAUCAUCUACAUUUUCCCUCAGAAGCCAUAAGAAAUCUCUGGCCCUCCAAAGUAUAUUAAAUCACACAGAAAGACGAAAUGCUUGUUUAAAGACCUACGAAAAAGCUUGCAGAUGAAUAAUGAAUUUCCAUUGUGUGUGACUGCAGUCUUUUGAUAACAUUCUCUUGUAUGUCUAUAAUAAAAAUGUCGCUCUAUCAAAGUGUAUUCGUCUAUUGCAAUGUAGUAACAUUGUCACAAACUAAUACAGCCACUGGGCCACUGUUUUAAAGUUGGUAGCUUUUAGAUUUAGAGUUUGUUUCAGGCAGUUUGAGUCGCCCAUAAAGUAUCGUAAAACUGAGUAAUAAUUAAGCAAUAAGGUACGAGAGGCUGUACUUUAUCAUCCAAUAAUGUAACAGUUUCGGGGGUGUUGUUAGGCCCGCCACUGCGCGUCGUUGAGUUAACCCUCAAACAAAUAAUAUAAUAAUAAUUCUACUUGUAAUAAAAUGGGUGCAAACUUAUUUGUUCAGUGUACGCCACCACUACGUUGUGCGUGGUGUGUAAAUUUGAAGCGACUGUUGAUGCAUCCUCAAACUGUCCUUACUUUGAAGGCUAAAGGAACUACAUGCAUACAAACACCAUUACAUUUCUGUUUCUUCAUUUCUGAUUUCUUCCCUCUGUGUCAUCUUAUAUAUAUAUAUUUUCCCUCGCCUUUCUCUUGUCUCCUACAUUCUCUGCAUCUCGCUCAUUCACUGUCCAUCCCUCCUUUCGGUCCCUCUCUCACCGUUUCCCUUUCUUUCUGUCUAUAUUGCUUUGUCUUUGGUGCUUACAGGUCUCUGCAAUGCCACUUUACUUCCCAGUCAGCCGUUUGAUCAUUAAUUUAUCACAGUUCCAGCAGUUUGUUUGACAGGUGCUUUCAUCUGACUAGCACCAUGGCAUUGCUGAAUGAACAAGGGACCUAUAUGU
Long non-coding RNA from Gasterosteus aculeatus aculeatus (three-spined stickleback), 1820 nucleotides. NCBI's taxonomy places the organism in Eukaryota, Metazoa, Chordata, Actinopteri, Perciformes, Gasterosteidae. The record is from Ensembl.